RNAcentral lists this ribosomal RNA (669 nucleotides) under uncultured Bacilli bacterium. RNAcentral's name for it is "bacterial SSU rRNA". It matches the Rfam family "Bacterial small subunit ribosomal RNA", at positions 28 to 681 of the family's 1533-position model. The record is from RNAcentral. Lineage: Bacteria; Bacillati; Bacillota; Bacilli.
GACGAACGCUGGCGUGUGCCUAAUACAUGCAAGUAGAACGCUGAAGGAAGGAGCUUGCUCUUUCCGGAUGAGUUACGAACGGGUGAGUAACGCGUAGGUAACCUGCCUGGUAGCGGGGGAUAACUAUUGGAAACGAUAGCUAAUACCGCAUAAGAGUAGAUGUUGCAUGACAUUUGCUUAAAAGGUGCAAUUGCAUCACUACCAGAUGGACCUGCGUUGUAUUAGCUAGUUGGUGGGGUAACGGCUCACCAAGGCGACGAUACAUAGCCGACCUGAGAGGGUGAUCGGCCACACUGGGACUGAGACACGGCCCAGACUCCUACGGGAGGCAGCAGUAGGGAAUCUUCGGCAAUGGACGGAAGUCUGACCGAGCAACGCCGCGUGAGUGAAGAAGGUUUUCGGAUCGUAAAGCUCUGUUGUAAGAGAAGAACGAGUGUGAGAGUGGAAAGUUCACACUGUGACGGUAUCUUACCAGAAAGGGACGGCUAACUACGUGCCAGCAGCCGCGGUAAUACGUAGGUCCCGAGCGUUGUCCGGAUUUAUUGGGCGUAAAGCGAGCGCAGGCGGUUAGAUAAGUCUGAAGUUAAAGGCUGUGGCUUAACCAUAGUACGCUUUGGAAACUGUUUAACUUGAGUGCAAGAGGGGAGAGUGGAAUUCCAUGUGUAGCGG